Molecule: small nuclear RNA, 107 nt
Organism: Eptesicus fuscus (big brown bat)
Lineage: Eukaryota; Metazoa; Chordata; Mammalia; Chiroptera; Vespertilionidae
Source: RefSeq, a predicted model, not a curated record
GUGCUUGCUUCCGCAGCACAUAUACUAAAAUGGGAACGAUACAGAGAAUAUUAGCAUGGCCCCUGUGCAAGGAUGACACACAAAUUCGUUGAGCAGUCCAUAUUUUU